Hyla sarda is the source of this 813-nucleotide long non-coding RNA. RefSeq lists it as uncharacterized. Lineage: Eukaryota; Metazoa; Chordata; Amphibia; Anura; Hylidae. The transcript has 4 exons. The record is from RefSeq and is a predicted model, not a curated record.
UCUCCCCCAUAGAUUUCCAGAUAAAGAAUAUGGGGGGUUAUGUAUGGAGUUUGCCUUGGUAGUACAUUUUGGUGACGCUGCUGAAGGAACCGUUACCUGUGCAGUUCUCAAACCUACCACAUUCACAUUGAUCUCAGGCACGGAGCAGUCAUUCGGCGAUCGGACACGCAGGAGGAAGGUCCUUGCCAUUGCGCUCCAGCGCACAAUGGAGGCAGCGAGUCAGCUCACCCAGCUCUGGCUCUCACGGAAGGGCGUGGAAUACUGAUGAGGCAGCUUCCUUCAUGGACCUUGUAAUGGACAGAACUACCUAAUACCUUAAUUAAUUUAUUCCAAAGAAACAACUUCCCUCAAUAAAACCUAAGUGUUUAAAGAAGAAAAAAAGAAAAAAGACAAUUUUUAAAUGUGUAAAUUUUAUUUUCACACAGAAGCAAAGAAUGUAACAACAAACCUUGCCUCGUGAUAGCAUUGUUACAUGAAGCAGUAGGGAAAAUAAAAAAAAAUUCCAUCCCAAAUGUUACCAAAAGCACAAAUAAAAUGCCUCUUGCCAGAGAGAGUGAGAUUCAUGAUAUGUACACAUACCUUAAAGGGGAAGAUCUCUAAAUAUGUACAUGUAAUACUUCUGGUAAAAAAUAGAAUCUAAAACACAAGUAAAACAAUUUCAUACAUGUGUCAUGGAGUGUCUAUGUUGUUUUGCAAUUAUUUGGCUAUGUCAAAGUUGUAAACCCUUUCCCACUUGUGCAUUUGUUAAUGCAUUAGGGCAAAACUAGAAAAUAAAAGCCAUAAAAACUCACUAAUAAAUCUCUAAAAUAAUAA